This is a long non-coding RNA of Nerophis ophidion (straightnose pipefish), 1415 nucleotides long. RefSeq lists it as uncharacterized. NCBI's taxonomy places the organism in Eukaryota, Metazoa, Chordata, Actinopteri, Syngnathiformes, Syngnathidae. The transcript is spliced from 8 exons. The record is from RefSeq and is a predicted model, not a curated record.
UGCGCAGUGAGACCGAGGAAUCCCCUCAUCUUUCGGUCAGACCAAAUGUCCACACUCACUGCAACAUGCAUCAUCUUUCGCUUGGAUUGCCUGGAUUUUUGCCUACAAUUGCUCCUGCUGUGUUCGCUUAAUCAAACAACUACAAAGACGCAUUAAAAAUAAUGCAACAAUAUCGAAACAGCUGCAACACCUGCAAUCUGAGGCAGAGAAUGAGUUUGAGCUGCCAGAAAAAGGAACAGGAAGCCAGUCCAUCGUCUCGGGGACUCUGAUGAUAGCGAGGAAGACCCGGGAAAUGGUGACCUCGCAUCUCAAGCCAAUUUCACUGGCAGACUCCACCGUCUCGCUGAGUGCCAGCAAGAGUCAUGAGUACACGUCAACUCAACUCCUCAACUGGAGAUAACUUUCUAGCACCUCACCAUGGGGAAGGACUUAUUCAUAUGACUUCACCAGCACCUGCAUUAAACAUGCAGAGAGUUACACAAGCCCUCAACAUGUGGCAGACAGAGGAGCCUGGAUCCCGCCUGGCCUACAGGCCAACAUGGCGUGGGGGAAGAAUGGCCGACAUUUCCUGCUCUGCGGCUGAGGUCCAGAUCCUUCUCCUGCUGGAAAUGAUUAAACACACCCAAGAUCAGCUGAUGGGGAAGGUCAACUUCUUGACCAAUCAUGUGUGCUUACGGACUGUAUCCCUGCAGACUGUAUUGAUCUACAUUGAUAUACAAUGUAUUUUUCAUGUUGAUUUAAUAAUAAAAAAAAAUAAAAAAAUUUGUGAGGCCCAGUACCAAUCGGUCCGGUCCAGUGAUUGGGGACCACUGCUAUAGAGCAUUAAAAUAAUCCAAGUGGAUUAGUUUAAUGCUAUAUAGCAUUUAGCUAGCUAAUCGUGGACUAGCUUAAUGCUACAUAGCAACGUGCAUUAGCAGCAUUUAGCAUAUAAAAGUCCGUUUUUUACAACAAUUUAACAACCUUAAUCCAGGGAAUUUAACCCGCAAGUUUAUCCACAAGUCAAAGACAGUGUGCACUCAAAUUAAUGGGAAUAUUGUCGCUUUCUCGGUCCGAAUCACUCUAGCUGCUGGUGGCCAUGAUUGUAAACAAUAAGAGGAUGUGAGGAGCUCUACAACCAGUGACGUCAUGCGCAUAUUGUCUGCUACUUCCGGUACAGGCAAGGCUUUUUUUGUUAGCGACCAAAAGUUGCGAACUUUAUCGUCGAUGUUCUGUACUAAAUCCUUUCAGCAAAAAUAUGGCAAUAACGCGAAAUGAUCAAGUAUGACACAUAGAAUGGACCUGCUAUUCCGGUUUAAAUAAGAACAUCUCAUUUCAGUAGCCCUGUAAGUGUUUGUGCAUACAAAUGUUUUAAAUUACAUUUUUCUCUAAGAUUAUACUUCUCCUCCUUUUUUGAGAAGAAUUGUUGUGUAUUCUUG